RNAcentral lists this ribosomal RNA (255 nucleotides) under uncultured bacterium. Its description in RNAcentral is "partial 16S ribosomal RNA". It matches the Rfam family "Bacterial small subunit ribosomal RNA", at positions 524 to 776 of the family's 1533-position model. The record is from RNAcentral.
UACAGAGGUCUCAAGCGUUGUUCGGAUUCACUGGGCGUAAAGGGUGCGUAGGUGGCGGGGGUAAGUUUUGAUGUGAAAUCUCCGGGCUCAACCCGGAAAAUGCAUUGAAUACUAUUCUGCUUUGAGGUUUGGAGGGGGGACUGGAAUUCUUGGUGUAGCAGUGAAAUGCGUAGAUAUCAAGAGGAACACCAGUGGCGAAGGCGAGUCCCUGGCAACACCUGACACUGAGGCACGAAAGCUAGGGGAGCAAACAGG